This 77-nucleotide non-coding RNA is filed under the name Hyella patelloides LEGE 07179. Lineage: Bacteria; Bacillati; Cyanobacteriota; Cyanophyceae; Pleurocapsales; Pleurocapsaceae. The record is from RNAcentral.
AGGAGCGCAGUGAGGUAAAAGUCUCACGCUGCGUUCUGAAGACGAGUCAGGUUGGUAACAACCUGGCUUAGUUUAAC